AUAGAUAGUUCUAAAGAUGAGCGCACUUUUACAUCUGUGGAGAAAUGUUUGACCUGGAGUUCAAUUCAGAUUUUUAUUUUUGUAAAAUUCCAAUAAAAUACAGUCUAUGAUGGGACAAAACGUGAAAAUGUUCAGAGAUUUAUCAAAGCACUGUAGUUUGCUUUCUGAAACAAUUUCUCCUCCUUUCCUGAUGCCGUAAUGUUCCUGAUCAACACCGAGACGCCGCUCCUUCCUCAGAGCUGAAAUAUUCAACAUCUAUCCACACUUCUGACAGCCGGAGAGAAAGAGCAAGUUGAGGACUUGAACUCAUCUCUCCUCUCUCCCACUUCUCUGCAACAUCCACUGCUGACAGUCUGUUGCUAAGCAACUGUAAAAUAAAGCAGUGGGCUCUGAAGUCAGCGCGAGAGAAGAGGAAGAGAGUUCACAAGUACUGCAAUACACUACUGUUUGUUUAGCUCUCUGCAUGAUCCCGGCACAUCUCUCGGUUCCCAUCUGUAGAUCCACGAUGACUUGUGACUUCUGGUUGUCGGACGGCCAGCCAAUCAGGGCCGGCUGCGAGGCGGGCUCAUCGGUUCCCUAGGCUACCUGUGUGAUUGACGUUCAGCCUCCUGCAGCGGAGCGCGCGGCGGUGUAUCACUGAUGCUCCUGCUUCCCGGGAGACAGUGGAGAAAUCUGGAAGAGAGGAGAGCCGGAGAGAAAACACAAGAGCAAGUGGAAUGCUAAUUAUUUAAAGUCCUUCAGGUUUUUCCUCCUGCUCUCUUUGCUGGAAAGAUGAAAGCUGCAGCGCAGGAAGAAGCCGGCUGAGGGGAAGGAUUCCCAAAGAAGAGGGAUUUGUUGUGUUUCAGGAGCUACAUGCUGGAGGUGUUGGAGCUGCUGCCUGUUUGCCUGCCUGCGUAGGAGGAAACAUCUCAUCUUCUGAAUCUCUCCGUCUACUACACAUACAAACUUUUAGGGAGUCGUUUCUGCUUCGUUAGAACAGGAAAGUAAGAGGAGAUGAGUCGAAGAUGGAAGGACAUGAGUCGGAUUUGAGCCUGCGUGAUUUUCACCUCGGCCCACGGAUUCGCUGGGAUGGCCCUCAGCCGAGAGAAACAGUAACGCAGGAAAACCUUAUGAAGACAGAAAUAAAGAGGAAAGACAAAGAAAAAGUCCAACUGUGUGAUAAAAAUAUGUUCAGCAUAGCGUGCUACCCAUAAAAACCCUGCAGCGGCUCAGGGGAGGAGUUCAGAGGAGGCAGAGAUGAACCUUACAAACCACAGACCGCCACCUGGGGAUAUAAGCUCCACCCACCUCUGAUACCCAGGGUGACUGACAGACUCACCAAAGCCUCAUACAUCGGCAUCUCAACCCUGUUUGGCCUACAGUACUGGUAGGUUCUCAGCGUUUACCUCUCUUUGGAAAUAUAGACGUUGCAUUUGUUUGAAAGAAAAUGAAAGGCAAAGGAACAAUCUUCAGUCUUUUAUUUAUUCUUUUGUGCAUACCUACAAUCAUUUACAACCAGAUGCAAGCAGCAUUUAGAUAACAAAUGUGCGCAGGUCUUUGUCUAUAUUCUGCUAAUGUCGGUAAUGAAGUUAAAAUCACACAUGAAUUAGUUUGUUCACGAGAUAAGUCACUAAAAGUCAUGGCAGCAAUGGAUGUAAACAUGAGAUGUAUUCUGAAUUCAACCAUCAGAGGAGACGUUGAUGUCUUAUGCAGCUAACAUUUGUGGCUAACGUAUGCAGCUAACGUGGUGUUUUGGGGAAAUUUAAGUCUGCUGUAUUAAUUAUGAAUAAUUAUGGAUUCAACACGUUUGAAUGCCACACAACUUUUCAUGAAUUGUGCGAUGCUGUGAGAGCUCUGGUGGAACCAGCUGCACUUUGUCUGACUAAAUCAAAAACAAACCAUCAUCUUCUUUGUC
This is a long non-coding RNA of Poecilia latipinna (sailfin molly), 1894 nucleotides long. RefSeq lists it as uncharacterized. The transcript is spliced from 3 exons. The record is from RefSeq and is a predicted model, not a curated record. Lineage: Eukaryota; Metazoa; Chordata; Actinopteri; Cyprinodontiformes; Poeciliidae.